CUAGCGCCGCCAAUUCCCUUCUCGGUUCUCUCUUUCUUCCCCACAUACAACAACGAGAGGGAAAACCCCCGUACACCUCUGUACCUUCCCCUCCAUGGCGCUGCUGCUCCCGACCGCCCCUCGCCGAGCUAAGGCCAUCUCCAGAACCGCCCCGACGUCCUUGUUGUCCUCCUCCAAGGAAUCGAGCCGGAGCUCUCCCAAUCGCCGCCAAAUUCACCGAUUCCAUCUCCAACCUCGGUGGGAAAAGCUUCGAUUUAGAACGUCUCCGCCCUCCUCUGGCCCAUCCGAGCCUUUCAGCACGAUCCCGGCAAAGCUCGUCGCCGGCAACCUUCCGGUGGUGCUCCGCUCAAGGCGCGACCUGUUCCUGCUUCCCCAUGUCACGGCGCUUCUUCCCCGCCAUGUAGCCUGCCCCGAUUGAUGCUCGACAUGGUCUCCGUCCGCCAUGCUGCUUCUGGAACCGAGCUCCGCCGUGGACUACUACAAAAGGGUGGACCCCACCCGUCAGCCUCUGCCAGCGCCACAUCAGCUCCCCUGCCUCGUCAGUGUCACAGUCAGCGACCCUGGCCCCGCAAGUCAGCCCCUGUGGCUAGACCCUCCUCGCAUUUGCUUCUUCCCGGAUAGGAUCACGAAGUGGUGUGGUGAGAUACG
Lolium rigidum is the source of this 648-nucleotide long non-coding RNA. RefSeq lists it as uncharacterized. The record is from RefSeq and is a predicted model, not a curated record. Lineage: Eukaryota; Viridiplantae; Streptophyta; Magnoliopsida; Poales; Poaceae. The transcript has 4 exons.